Molecule: RNA transcript, 2628 nt
Organism: Pyrgilauda ruficollis (rufous-necked snowfinch)
Lineage: Eukaryota; Metazoa; Chordata; Aves; Passeriformes; Passeridae
Gene: CASP9
Gene name: caspase 9
Exons: 12
Source: RefSeq, a predicted model, not a curated record
GCCUGGAGAUAUUCUUAAAAACCCUAACAAAACACCAAAACACGGAUGGAAUCCUGUUCCGUUUGCUCUGGGAUGGCCCUUCUGGACCACAGCAGGGCUCUUCCAGCCUGACUCCGUGUGUGAUUCUGGGACUCCGGGGCGGUGGCGCUUCCGGGCAGCGAGCUGCGGUUCCGGGGCAGAGCUGCGGUGCCGGGCACUGAGCGGCGGCUCCGGGGCUUGUGCCGCGGUUCCAGGGUUUGAACGGCGGCUCCGGGGCUCAGCGGCGGUCCUGAGCAGAGCGGCGGUCUCGGGCACUGAGCGGCGGUCCCGGGCAGAGCCCGGCUCCGGCAGCCCAGGCUCCGGGGCCAUGGAGGAGCAGCAGCGGCGGGCGCUGCGGCGCGGGCGGGCCCGGCUGGUGGCGGCGCUGCGGGUGGAGCCGCUCUGGGAUCCGCUGGAGCAGCGCGGGCUCUUCACCCGGCCAAUGCUGGAGGAGCUGCAGAGCGCUGGCAGCCGAGGAGAGCAAGCCCGGCAGCUGAUCAUUGACCUGGAGACUCGAGGGAAGCAGGCUUUCCCUGCCUUCCUCUCUAUCCUGCGGGACACCGGGCAGGGCGACCUUGCCGAGAUGCUGCUCCAGGAGUGCGAAGCCCGGCCGGUGCCAGCGCAGCUGCCCGACCUGCGGCCCGUGGAGCUGGAGCUGCAGGAGGAAAAACAGCGUAAAAAUGUGACCCCUCGUGAACGUUUGUCUAUCCCAGUCCAAGCUGAGAGUGAAAGACCUCGAAUGCCUCCUGUGCCAGCCCGGGGUUCAGCUGUUGACAAGAGGAGCCAUGACCAGGAUUAUGAGAUGAAAGCGGAUCCCUGCGGACACUGCCUGAUCCUCAAUAACGUCAGUUUCUCCAGAGACUCGGGUCUGUCCACCCGAGAAGGCUCUGACAUUGACUGUGAGAAGCUGGAGAGGCGCUUCAAGGCCUUGCGCUUCACCGUCCUGACCCGGCGGGAUCUGAAAGCUCAGGAAAUGGUGUUGGAGCUGCUGAAGCUGUCACGGCAGGACCACAGUGCUUUGGACUGCUGCAUUGUGAUCAUCCUUUCCCAUGGCUGUCAGACGAGCCAUAUUCAAUUUCCUGGAGGUGUUUACGGAACGGAUGGAAAACCCAUUCCCAUAGAAAAGAUUGUGAACUAUUUCAAUGGGUCCAAUUGCCCGAGUUUGAGAGGAAAACCCAAACUGUUCUUCAUCCAGGCCUGUGGUGGAGAACAAAGGGAUCAAGGCUUUGUAGUGGACUGUGAUUCGCCUGAAGAGGAAGCUCCUGGGGGUUUCUUGGAAUCGGACGCGACCCCAUUUCGGGUUUCAUCAGAUAACGUGGAUGAGCCCGAUGCCAUUGCCAGUUUGCCCACACCUAGUGACAUCUUGGUUUCCUACUCAACUUUUCCAGGUUUUGUCUCUUGGAGAGAGAAGUCAAGUGGCUCGUGGUAUGUGGAAACGCUGGACAGUGUGCUGGAGCAAUACGCCCAUUUGGAAGACCUGCUCAGCAUGUUAGUGAGGGUGGCACAUGCUGUCUCUGCCAAGGGGAGGUACAAGCAGAUGCCGGGAUGUUUCAAUUUCCUCCGUAAAAAAUUCUUCUUCAUGUGCCACUGACACGUGGGCUCCGAGCCCCCUGCCAAGCACUGGAGAUUCUUCCUGUGCCUGAAUGAAAUCUGUGCCCACCAUGACUUGGUGUCAGUGCUCCCUGUGGAUUUUGUCUGUGUGUCCAGAUGUUUGUCUGGAGAAAUGUGAUCCGAGAGUGCUGGCUUUGCCAUGGAGUGGAGAUGAGAUGGAGAUUGUGCUGUGCCGAUGGGAAAUCUUGUGGAUGGAGCAGGAAGUCCAUUCGCUGGAGAACAGAGCCAGAGGAGAGCACUUCUGGCUCAGCCUGACAUGACCACACUUGACCUCAGAGUGUUUUUCUUUGCUGAUCAUGAUAUUUGUGUCCUGUGCUGUCCAGCACCUCCUGAAGGCUCCUCUGAAGUGGGAAGAGUAGGAACCUUCACUCAUGUCUGUGCUGCUCUGUGUGGUCAUUUACAAUGUGGCUGUGCCAGCCUAUGGAGCAUCCUGCUCCUUUUGAGGAGUCAUUUGGGAGUUACAGCAGGAAACCAAUGAGGAUUCAUUGAAACAUCAGUGCUGAGGCCGGAGCCGAAGCUGACGAUGCCCUCGACCUCCCAGACCCCGUCAUCGCGCUGGCAGUUCAGGGGGCCUCCAGAAUCGCCCUGUAUGGAGAGACAGUGUGGGCCACUGCUCCUGGGCACCCUGUUGGCACACCCCACAUCCAACACAGCACUGACGUAGACAAGAAAAGAAAGGCCUUAUGAAAUCAGGCCUCACACUGCUAAAACUGCCAAAGCUGACCUGUCAUUUCUUCUAAGUGCAGCUAACAAGUGAUUUGCAAGUUCCCAUGUGAAGCUAUUUUAGGAAUGAGAGGUUUGUUUAACCCAACAAUCUGUUCUGAGGGUGAGAAACAAAUGCACCUCUGUAAACAAUAAGAUCUGUCCCAUGAGAACCCACAAAGGAAAAAUGGAAACAUGUCUAGAGAGAGAAAAUUUGGUAGACAUAUCCAAUAGCGCUUAUCAACCAGUGAACUGAGUUUCACUGUAUUGCUGACCAAUUAGGUUUAAUACAGUGCC